This 2266-nucleotide ribosomal RNA is filed under the name human gut metagenome. RNAcentral's name for it is "bacterial LSU rRNA". It matches the Rfam family "Bacterial large subunit ribosomal RNA", at positions 14 to 2303 of the family's 2925-position model. The record is from RNAcentral.
AGGGCGUACGGCGAAUGCCUUGCCACUCGAAACUGAAGAAGGACGCGCCAAACUGCGAAAAGCUCCGUGAAGCUGUAAGGAAGCGAAGAAGCGGAGGUGUCCGAAUGGGGGAACCCGGCAGCAGACAUGAGCUGUCAUCUGCAGGUGAAUACAUGGCCUGCAAGAGAGGUACCCGGCGAACUGAAACAUCUAAGUAGCCGGAGGAAAAGAAAACAACAGUGAUUCCCUGAGUAGCGGCGAGCGAAAGGGGAGAAGCCCAAACCGGUCCGAGGACCGGGGUUGAAGGACCAUGACAUGGCAAGAACGAGGAUAGGAGAACGGGAUCGAAAGCCCGGCCGAAGAAGGUGAAAGCCCUGUAACCGAAAUCCGAGUAAAGCCUAAUGGGAUCCUGAGUACGGCGAGACACGAGAAAUCUUGUCGGAAGCAGGCGGGACCAUCCGCCAAGGCUAAAUAUAAACGAGUGAGCGAUAGUGAACCAGUACCGUGAGGGAAAGGUGAAAAGAACCGCGGGAGCGGAGUGAAAGAGAACCUGAAACCGUAUGCCUACAAGAAGUCAGAGCCCGUUAAGGGGUGAUGGCGUGCCUUUUGUAGAAUGAACCGGCGAGUUGCGACAGACUGCGAGGUUAAGGAGGAAAGACCGGAGCCGAAGCGAAAGCGAGUCUUAAGAGGGCGAAAGUAGGAUGUUGCAGACCCGAAACCGGGUGAUCUAGCCAUGAGCAGGUUGAAGUUGAGGUGAAACUCAAUGGAGGACCGAACCGACUACCGUUGAAAAGUUAGCGGAUGACUUGUGGCUAGGGGAGAAAUUCCAAUCGAACCCGGAGAUAGCUGGUUCUCCCCGAAAUAGCUUUAGGGCUAGCGUCGGAAAGAACCUUAGUGAAGGUAGAGCACUGAAUGUGUGAUGGCCCCAUCCCGGGGUACUGAAUACAAUCAAACUGCGAAUGUCAUUAAGGAUGUCCGGCAGUCAGACUGUGAGUGAUAAGGUCCAUGGUCAAGAGGGAAACAGCCCAGACCGCCAGUUAAGGUCCCAAAAUACAGGCUAAGUGGAAAAGGAUGUGGGGAUGCCCAGACAACUAGGAGGUUGGCUCAGAAGCAGCCAUCCUUUAAAGAGUGCGUAACAGCUCACUAGUCGAGUGACCCUGCGCCGAAAAUGUACCGGGGCUAAGCCUGAUACCGAAACUGCGGAUUGUAGGAAACUAUAGUGGUAGGGGAGCGUUGUAUACGAGCAGAAGCCGUACCGUGAGGAGCGGUGGAUUGUAUAGAAGUGAGAAUGCCGGUGUGAGUAGCGAGAUGUAGGUGAGAAUCCUACACACCGAAAGCCCAAGGAUUCCAGGGGAAGGUUCGUCCGCCCUGGGUAAGUCGGGACCUAACGCGAGGCCGAAAGGCGUAGUGGAUGGAAAGCAGGCGAAAGAUUCCUGCACCCGUAUAUGGAGCGAAGGAGUGACGGAGACGGAUAGUGUGACCCUCUUAAUGGAUUGAGGGCGAAGCGAAGCGGCUGGUUACCAGGCAAAUCCGGUAACCAUAAGGCUAGAGCGUGACAGGUAAGCGAAAUCUUCGGAAAGUAGCGAAGCACAUGAUGACGGCUUCCAGGAAAAGCUUCUGGCAAUGCAUAUGCGGCCCGUACCAAAACCGACACAGGUGGGCAGGGAGAGAAUCCCGAGGUGAGCGAGAGAACUGUUGCCAAGGAACUCGGCAAAAUGACUCCGUAAGUUAGCGAGAAGGAGUGCUUAAGCAAUUAAGCCGCAGUGAAGAGGCCCAAGCGACUGUUUAACUAAAACACAGCUCUCUGCGAAGUCGCAAGACGAAGUAUAGGGGGUGACACCUGCCCGGUGCUGGAAGGUUAAGAGGAUCUGUUAAGAGCGAUCUGAAGCAGUGAUCCGAAGCCCCAGUGAACGGCGGCCGUAACUAUAACGGUCCUAAGGGAGCGAAAUUCCUUGUCAGGUAAGUUCUGACCCGCACGAAAGGUGUAACGAUUUGGGCGCUGUCUCGGCAGCAGACUCGGUGAAAUCUUAGUACCUGUGAAAAUGCAGGUUACCCGCAACUAGACGGAAAGACCCCAUGGAGCUUUACUGCAGCCUGAUAUUGAAUUCUGGUCAUACAUGUACAGGAUAGGUGGGAGACAAAGAGACGUGCACGCCAGUGUACGAGGAGUCGACGUUGGGAUACCACUCUUGUGUGACCGGGGUUCUAACCUGGUAUCGAGAACAGGUACGGGGAGAGUGUCAGGUGGGCAGUUUGACUGGGGCGGUCGCCUCCCAAAGAGUAACGG